This 251-nucleotide ribosomal RNA is filed under the name Bacillus sp. BC2_NA1A4. Its description in RNAcentral is "partial 16S ribosomal RNA". It matches the Rfam family "Bacterial small subunit ribosomal RNA", at positions 1080 to 1332 of the family's 1533-position model. Lineage: Bacteria; Bacillati; Bacillota; Bacilli; Caryophanales; Bacillaceae. The record is from RNAcentral.
UUAAGUCCCGCAACGAGCGCAACCCUUGAUCUUAGUUGCCAUCAUUAAGUUGGGCACUCUAAGGUGACUGCCGGUGACAAACCGGAGGAAGGUGGGGAUGACGUCAAAUCAUCAUGCCCCUUAUGACCUGGGCUACACACGUGCUACAAUGGACGGUACAAAGAGCUGCAAGACCGCGAGGUGGAGCUAAUCUCAUAAAACCGUUCUCAGUUCGGAUUGUAGGCUGCAACUCGCCUACAUGAAGCUGGAAU